GACGAACGCUGGCGGCGUGCUUAACACAUGCAAGUCGAACGGUGAACCUCUUCGGAGGGGAUCAGUGGCGAACGGGUGAGUAACUCGUGGGCAACCUGCCCCCGGCUCUGGGAUAACUCCAAGAAAUUGGGGCUAAUACCGGAUGUUCACCGCUUCCCGCAUGGGUGGUGGUGGAAAGGGUUUCCGGCUGGGGAUGGGCCCGCGGCCUAUCAGCUUGUUGGUGGGGUAGUGGCCUACCAAGGCGACGACGGGUAGCCGGCCUGAGAGGGUGACCGGCCACACUGGGACUGAGACACGGCCCAGACUCCUACGGGAGGCAGCAGUGGGGAAUAUUGCGCAAUGGGCGGAAGCCUGACGCAGCGACGCCGCGUGGGGGAUGACGGCCUUCGGGUUGUAAACCUCUUUCAGCAGGGACGAAGCGCAAGUGACGGUACCUGCAGAAGAAGCACCGGCCAACUACGUG
RNAcentral lists this ribosomal RNA (463 nucleotides) under uncultured bacterium. RNAcentral's name for it is "partial 16S ribosomal RNA". It matches the Rfam family "Bacterial small subunit ribosomal RNA", at positions 28 to 507 of the family's 1533-position model. The record is from RNAcentral.